Molecule: small nuclear RNA, 102 nt
Filed under: Ochotona princeps (American pika)
Lineage: Eukaryota; Metazoa; Chordata; Mammalia; Lagomorpha; Ochotonidae
Description: U2 spliceosomal RNA (ENSOPRG00000024262.1)
Rfam family: U2 spliceosomal RNA
About the family: U2 is a small nuclear RNA (snRNA) component of the spliceosome (involved in pre-mRNA splicing).
Source: RNAcentral
CCAGCUUCUUGGUCUUUUGGCCAAGAUAAAGUGUAGUAUCUGUUCUUAUCAGUUAAUGUGCCUGGGAAUGCAGCAGAAGUUGGCCCAAGCACCUGAACUCUU